CUCUCUCUCUGAAAUAAAUUUUUAAAAUCUUUUAAAAAUAGAUAAAAUGAAAUAAAAUAAGUUAUGGUUGAAGGCCCCUGAAGUUGGCAGUGGCCCAGGCCUGUCUGGCCCUCUGGAAGUACUUCAGAAAUGUUUAAUGAGACAGAGUAUGGCCCGGGUUUGAUAUCAGUUGUGGGAAGACAGGAGCUGAGUGUCCCUCUAGUCCCGACAGGACCCCAUGUCCAUGACCGAAUGCCAGCCCAGGGCAGCUCACUAGCCCCUGCUGAGAGCGCAGGAAAUACAGGGCUUCGGAGCUCAGAAAGGGAUGGUCUGUGACAUGCUGGAGGCUGGGGAAGCCUUCACUUAACCUUCAUCUGGAAUAUUUAGGUAGAGCAAAGGAGAUGGUCAGACAUGGGAGCCAUGCCUGGUAAAGCGACGGACCACAGAACCUCGGGGGUGCCUCUGGGUGCCUCUGAGUCAGCCAGAGUAGUGUGUUCUGGAAGCCUGCGAGGGCCAGAGGAGAGACCAAAGACAGCCGUAUUGGCAGAUGGGGCUCGGACAGAGUGGAAGUGUAAAAGCAGCUUCGUGAAGAGCUGACGGAUUCGGCGCCCUAGUCUGUGGCUCAUACCCUCAAGGCAGCAGGAGGCGAGGAGACCUUCCUUUCCCCUCGCCCCCGUUGCUUAAUUGCUUCUCAAGUCCCCUCAGCAAGUUCCAGGCUUUUAAGAACCAGAGUCAAUGUUCUGUCACAUUAUUUGCACCCGGGUAUUUCCCCCUGGCUCUCUGCUUCCGAUGGCCAGACGAGGUGACGCAAGACUGGAAGAUUCUGGGGCUGGAACAGCUCUCGGGCUUUCCCGUGGAGGACCUCCCACUCCUUGGCAGACCCGAGCGGAGGGUUGAUAGCCCAGAUUUCCGGGCUGAACGCUGUGAGCCCUCUGACGCCUCUUUGCUGAGCGCGGAAACGCAGGCCUGCCGGGUCCCAGGCAGUGGGCAGUGAGGGCCCGGCCCUGGGCGUGGCCUUGGACUCGGCUGUGGCAGCAGCACCGGACUGGCCACAGAGGAUGUGGCAGGUGAUGCUGCUCAUGGAGCCGGUCCCAGAGCUCCUCAGCCUGUUGCCAGGUCGGGACCUUGAUCCCCUCCUGCCUUUUCCUGCAGUAAGAAGAAAAAAAAAA
Molecule: long non-coding RNA, 1148 nt
Organism: Lontra canadensis (Northern American river otter)
Lineage: Eukaryota; Metazoa; Chordata; Mammalia; Carnivora; Mustelidae
Exons: 2
Source: RefSeq, a predicted model, not a curated record